UUAAGCAAUAGAUAGCGACGCUGUUAGAAUUAAAACCAAAAAGAUCUAGUUUGUCGGAUACGAAAAUACCAAAAAAGAAUCAAGAACGAGAGAAGAAAAAUAAAGCACACAGUAUUUACGUGGUUCGGCCACCAGCCUACAUCCACGGGCGAAGACCAAGCCGAAAUUUUCAUUAUAAUCAAAGUGAUGUACAAAAUAUGCCUCUAUCGCAAAACCCUAAUCCUAAAAAUACACCCAUACUCCCUCUCUCAUCUUCCGCACUAAACUAAUGGAAUAAAAAAUAUAUUUAUAA
This 292-nucleotide long non-coding RNA is filed under the name Ananas comosus (pineapple). RNAcentral's name for it is "long non-coding RNA (ACOM_LNC028295)". The record is from RNAcentral. Lineage: Eukaryota; Viridiplantae; Streptophyta; Magnoliopsida; Poales; Bromeliaceae.